CGAACGAAACACCUUAUUUGAUUUUCUUCGGAACUGAAGAUUUGGUGAUUGAGUGGCGGACGGGUGAGUAACGCGUGGGUAACCUACCCUGUACAGGGGGAUAACAGUCAGAAAUGACUGCUAAUACCGCAUAAGACCACAGCACCGCAUGGUGCAGGGGUAAAAACUCCGGUGGUACAGGAUGGACCCGCGUCUGAUUAGCUGGUUGGUGAGGUAACGGCUCACCAAGGCGACGAUCAGUAGCCGGCUUGAGAGAGUGAACGGCCACAUUGGGACUGAGACACGGCCCAAACUCCUACGGGAGGCAGCAGUGGGGAAUAUUGCACAAUGGGGGAAACCCUGAUGCAGCGACGCCGCGUGAGUGAAGAAGUAUUUCGGUAUGUAAAGCUCUAUCAGCAGGGAAGAAAAUGACGGUACCUGACUAAGAAGCCCCGGCUAACUACGUGCCAGCAGCCGCGGUAAUACGUAGGGGGCAAGCGUUAUCCGGAUUUACUGGGUGUAAAGGGAGCGCAGGCGGUGCGGCAAGUCAGAUGUGAAAACCCGGGGCUCAACCCCGGGACUGCAUUUGAAACUGUCGGACUAGAGUGCCGGAGAGGUAAGUGGAAUUCCUAGUGUAGCGGUGAAAUGCGUAGAUAUUAGGAGGAACACCAGUGGCGAAGGCGGCUUACUGGAC
Molecule: ribosomal RNA, 673 nt
Filed under: uncultured Lachnospiraceae bacterium
Lineage: Bacteria; Bacillati; Bacillota; Clostridia; Lachnospirales; Lachnospiraceae
Description: bacterial SSU rRNA
Rfam family: Bacterial small subunit ribosomal RNA
Source: RNAcentral